GACGAACGCUGGCGGCGUGCCUAAUACAUGCAAGUAGAACGCUGAAGGAGGAGCUUGCUUCUCUGGAUGAGUUGCGAACGGGUGAGUAACGCGUAGGUAACCUGCCUGGUAGCGGGGGAUAACUAUUGGAAACGAUAGCUAAUACCGCAUAAUAGUAGAUGUUGCAUGACAUUUGCUUAAAAGGUGCAAUUGCAUCACUACCAGAUGCACCUGCGUUGUAUUAGCUAGUUGGUGGGGUAACGGCUCACCAAGGCGACGAUACAUAGCCGACCUGAGAGGGUGAUCGGCCACACUGGGACUGAGACACGGCCCAGACUCCUACGGGAGGCAGCAGUAGGGAAUCUUCGGCAAUGGACGGAAGUCUGACCGAGCAACGCCGCGUGAGUGAAGAAGGUUUUCGGAUCGUAAAGCUCUGUUGUAAGAGAAGAACGAGUGUGAGAGUGGAAAGUUCACACUGUGACGGUAUCUUACCAGAAAGGGACGGCUAACUACGUG
This 495-nucleotide ribosomal RNA is filed under the name uncultured bacterium. RNAcentral describes it as "partial 16S ribosomal RNA". It matches the Rfam family "Bacterial small subunit ribosomal RNA", at positions 28 to 507 of the family's 1533-position model. The record is from RNAcentral.